This 465-nucleotide ribosomal RNA is filed under the name Pseudocercospora eumusae. Its description in RNAcentral is "eukaryotic LSU rRNA". The stretch from base 124 to 277 matches the Rfam family "5.8S ribosomal RNA". Lineage: Eukaryota; Fungi; Ascomycota; Dothideomycetes; Mycosphaerellales; Mycosphaerellaceae. The record is from RNAcentral.
AUAUGUCUGUGAACCACACUUGUUGCUUCGGGGGCGACCCUGCCGGCGAACUCGUCGCCGGGCGCCCCCGGAGGUCUUCUAAACACUGCAUCUUUGCGUCGGAGUUCAAAACAAAUCGAACAAAACUUUCAACAACGGAUCUCUUGGUUCUGGCAUCGAUGAAGAACGCAGCGAAAUGCGAUAAGUAAUGUGAAUUGCAGAAUUCAGUGAAUCAUCGAAUCUUUGAACGCACAUUGCGCCCUUUGGUAUUCCGAAGGGCAUGCCUGUUCGAGCGUCAUUUCACCACUCAGCCUGGCUUGGUAUUGGGCGUCGCGGUGUUUCGCGCGCCUUAAAGUCUUCCGGCUGAGCUGUCCGUCUCCUAGCGUUGUGGAUUCUUCAAUUCGCUUCGGAGUGCGGGCGGCCGCGGCCGUUAAAUCUUUAUGNAAGGUGACCUCGGAUCAGGAGGGAUACCCGCUGACUUAAGCA